This 488-nucleotide ribosomal RNA is filed under the name uncultured bacterium. Its description in RNAcentral is "partial 16S ribosomal RNA". It matches the Rfam family "Bacterial small subunit ribosomal RNA", at positions 32 to 492 of the family's 1533-position model. The record is from RNAcentral.
AAUCAACGCUGGCGGCGUGCCUCAGACAUGCAAGUCGAACGCGAAAGGUUCCUUCGGGAGCCGAGUAGAGUGGCGCUCGGGUGAGUAACACGUAGGUAAUUUGCCUUUGGGUGGGGAAUAACAAUCGGAAACGGUUGCUAAUACCGCAUAAUGCAGCGGCUCGACAUCGAGACAGUUGUUAAAGCGGGGGAGUCCUUCGGGACCUCGCGCCUAAAGAGAAGCCUGCGGCGGAUUAGCUAGUUGGUGAGGUAAUGGCUCACCAAGGCGACGAUCCGUAACCGGCCUGAGAGGGCGGACGGUCACACUGACACUUAAAUACGGGUCAGACUCCUACGGGAGGCAGCAGUCGGGAAUUUUGGGCAAUGGGCGAAAGCCUGACCCAGCAACGCCGCGUGAAGGAUGAAAUCCCUCGGGAUGUAAACUUCGCAAGAACGGGAAGAAUAAGCGAGAGUAAAUACCUCUCGUGAUGACGGUACCGUUUGUAAGCU